RNAcentral lists this long non-coding RNA (601 nucleotides) under Lotus japonicus. RNAcentral describes it as "long non-coding RNA (LJAP_LNC000124)". Lineage: Eukaryota; Viridiplantae; Streptophyta; Magnoliopsida; Fabales; Fabaceae. The record is from RNAcentral.
CUAACCUAAUGUUUUUAAGGAUUGGAAAGAAAGUCAUGAUAAUCCAGGUUAUCAUGAUAGCUUCAAAAUAAGGGGGUGGAACACGUGACAUGUAAGAUUCAAGUGAGCAGCAUGGAUAGUGUUAAGCUAUGAGCAGAGGCAACUUGCAUUGUGCAUGCAUUCUGGGCGUUCAAUAGCAUGAUGGACAGAGUUUGGACAAUAAUGAGCAUCAUGACAUAGCAUUGGCAGAGGUGUACAGUGGGUAGCAACUGUGGUAUAUGGAGAUUAGGGUUCACUCUUCACCAAAUGAGGGAUGAGGCAAAGACAUAGGUUCGGCCAGUUCCAACAGAAACAAACUUGUUUCAGUGUAUAAAAAUUCCAAGAGGGAGCUUAAAUAUUUAGCAAAACCCAGUCUACCUAAUAAGUGGGUUGACAGAUAAUGUCGAGGUCUGUUUUGCAUAGAAAAACAAGUAACAUUUGGUUGCAAAAAAACCAUUGUAAACUGUUGCAAUGCAUUACAGGACUUAGCACAAGUAACAUUUAACAGCACAAUAGUAAAUCCAUGAGCUUUCAUCAUAAAACAACAAAAAUGACAAACAAAAGUAUUCAUUGAAAAUUUGCN